ACUUGGAGGACAGUUUAAUUUGCUCAUUUAUGGACACACCACUGUCCUGUGGUUGUACAGUUGUAGACAAAAUCAGAUUAUUGAUUGCACUGGAGAAAGAAGCAUAGUGAGUGUACACAGACAAAUACUAAUUGCAAGACUAAUUACAAACCAUAACGCUAAUCAGCUAAAACAUCUUUCUUUUUGCUGUUUGUUUUCAUACAUGAUAUAAUAAAAAUGUAUUUGCAGAUUUUCAGGUAAACAUUUACAAAGACAGUGGUUUUCCUGUUGAAGUUAAACAUAAAUCAGACAUUUUAUCUGACGUUAACCUGUCUAUGUGUAAGCAAAGUUGAAUCAAAACUCAGAAGUUGCCAAGUAUGAGCAUAUAUUUGACAUGGCUGAAAGAUCCGAUCCUAAUCCUAAACAUGCCCUUCAGCAGAACCUUUUCAAACUCCUUUGGGAAGUCUCUCUUUUGUUGCUGGAAUAUCGACAUUGCAGGAACAAGCAUGCUGAUUGGCCGGGAUGUGCAGACUGGUUGUAGAUGUCCUCCUGGUGAAUGUCGGCCUCAAGGUUCGUUGAACACGUUCAUUUUUAUGAGAACGAUGAACUGAACGCAACUUAACGACAAAUAAUGAAUUUGAACGGUGAACACGCUCAUAUUAUCUGAGGUCUAGCUAAAACGUUAUGGAAUGUUUUCCUUCUACUGAGGAGAGACGCUGUCUAAAUCGAAUGCUUGCACCAUGUCGUUGCUCAGUGCCCGUAACAUUUUCGCGAUGUAGCCUAACCUAAACCAACUAACUCGACUUUGCACUACGUGUCUUCGUGUCUUCCUGCGCUGAACGUCCCCUUUUGUCCUCUGUCCACACAUUUAUUUUAUACAUUUAAAUGAUAGAAUUUAAGGUCUAGCCUAAUUAUUGGUUCAUAGCAUUGGUUCAUAUUCAUAGCAAGGCAUAGCAUUAUAAUUUGUUGUGCCUUUUGUUUGCAGGGUGUGAAUACAUAAACAGGCACAAUUAGCAACAAUAAAAAAAAAUAAAAAUAAUCAUUUUUUUUAGGAAUUGAUACAUAUGAAGUACAGUUUAAGGCAAGGGUUAGUGAUGGAUAAAGUUUUCUUAAAAAAAUAAGUUAAGUCUUUCAUUCUCAAUUUCCACCUUAAAACUAUGAAAUUAACUGAACUAUGAACUAGUUCAGAAUUGAAAUGGUGAACUAUGAACGUGAACUAUUCAUGUUUACUUGUAUGAACUGAACUUUGAACUAGUUCAUGAGAGGUGUGAACUUGCACAACACUGCCAGGCUGUGGUAUAUGGCUUCUUGACUUAAAAGACGUAAAUUCUGAUUGGUUACUGUGAUCUUGACAUUACAGCGAGGCAAAUGCUAAUUGGUUGGGAUAUCCAGGCUGUCGUCGAUGGCUUCUUGACUUAAAAGACGUAAAUUCUGAUUGGUUACUGUGAUCUUGACAUUACAGCGAGGCAAAUGCUAAUUGGUUGGGAUAUCCAGGCUGUGGUAGAUGGCUUCUUGACUUAAAAGACGUCAAUUCUGAUUGGUUACUGUGAUCUUGACAUUACAGCGAGGCAAAUGCUAAUUGGUUGGGAUAUCCAGGCUGUGGUAGAUGGCUUCCAGGCGUGUUUCGGCACGGAGGUUCUGGUAGAUGUGGCUUCGGCGCUGGACCUCAGCGUAGAUCGGGAUGGAGGCUUCAGCGGGGGCCUUGGUUUCCACGGCAACCGUCGAGGGGGUGGCGGUGACAUCGACUGAGUUCAUUGUCUCGU
Molecule: long non-coding RNA, 1742 nt
Organism: Clupea harengus (Atlantic herring)
Lineage: Eukaryota; Metazoa; Chordata; Actinopteri; Clupeiformes; Clupeidae
Source: Ensembl